UCCACUACACCCACAUGUACCCUAACAUACUUGAGUGCGAGUGUCUCUCUCUGUCGCGCUCUCUCAUGAUACAUUAACUGAGCGAACUGACAGCAUCUAGUGAGUGCAGGGUGUAUUGGAUACACUCAGAGUCGUAUCCACAGAUAGCUAGAUCAGUGCGUCCACACUCUAAAUAUUAUGCUCGAUUAUAGCAGUUUGACAAUUGAGUUGCUGCCAUCGCUUCAUCGAUGGAGCCACUAGCAUCAGUGUUGCCAAACCUUAUGGACAUGUCAAAUCUAUGUUAUUUUCGUAGAUUAUCGGAUGUUUUCGUCCUUUCUCGUGAAAUCUUAGACGUAUAAAUAGCUUGGCUCGGGAAUAAUCGUCCUCUUUCUGUCCGUGACUAGUAACCAGCUUAGUAGUGCGCGACGGGUUCAAUAUCGGUAAAGUUAGGUUAGAAAAAAUAGUAACAUGUGGUGUAAAUUGUGAUUUAAUUCCUUGUUUAAUUCCAGUGAAAAGUUUAUUUAAAACCCUAUGAAAAGGGAACUUAAAAGUAUUUGACCUACUAUUUAGUAGUACGAUACAAGACACGUUAAAAAUAAUAGUACAAUUUAUUAGAAAGGACGCGCAUUAAGUGUAAAAGAAAGCUAGCAAGAAAAAGGUCCAUCUAGGGCCUUUUUCUUUUUGUUCUUAGGAACACGGUUCCAAAUUAUCUCCCACAGAAGACUACACGGAACCAAAACCACCGAUCGUUAUCCGUCACUGGGUCGAGUGGACACGGACAGGAAGCCCAGCCGCGUGCCGGAAGAAUCGUCGCCAUCGCUAGUUCGACAUUCACACCGGCCAUUGUUAAUUGCCGAGCGGGACAGGAUUGUCGCCAUUGUUAUUUCGACAUACUCGCCGGCCAUUGUUAACGGCCUAGCAAGGCAGGAUCGCCGCCAACACUGAUUCCCUAUUGUCGUCCUCCUUUGUAUCCAUCCGGGCAACGCACCGUGUUGGACAGUUGCAAGUUCCGGACAGGAAUAGGAAGCAGCGAUCGUCAUCUUGGUCUUCAUAUGCUGCCGCUAAAAUUACCGUUCGGGAGUGGGCAAUUGUGAAUGAUCAGUCCACACCAAUUGAACGACCACGUCAUCGUCGAGUUAUCAUCGUUACGAAGUCAAAACCACCAGGACAUAUCGAACGUCAACGGGGACAAUUCACCUGGUCGACCGGGUUCAACACAUCAUCAUCAGGAAGCAUCGCCGGAUACCUCAGGUACAUGUGUGACGUCACAGUUAGGAAGUAGGAAGAAAUAGUAUAGUUUAGGUAUAAGUGAUGAUGUUUUAGGAUUAAGGUAUAGGAGAAUAAGGAUAGGGAUUAAAUUAAUUUACAUCAGAUUUGCUUUGUUUUCUAUAUUUCCGUUUGCGGGCUUUAAAGUGCUUCCAUCCCUCGGUUGUUUAAUAGUCCACUGCAAAGAAGACGAUUAAUUGAGCUUUUGAGCACCCCUCAUUUACGAGAAACUGUUUUCAGCCUGAGUAGUGAAACAUUGUCGGAGUUGGUGAGCAUCUUCUCUACCGGUCAUGCUCAUUGAUUGAGAACCUUUUAGGUGUGUGCGUUAACUCGGUCUACGUAGCGGUAAACGACCCUGUAAAUCAUUGCUAGGGGGUGGUUUCCACCCACCACAUAGUG
Long non-coding RNA from Topomyia yanbarensis, 1644 nucleotides. RefSeq lists it as uncharacterized. The record is from RefSeq and is a predicted model, not a curated record. NCBI's taxonomy places the organism in Eukaryota, Metazoa, Arthropoda, Insecta, Diptera, Culicidae. The transcript has 3 exons.